AACCUGGUUUUUUUAUUCCUUAAACCGUCUGCAUCGGUCUGAGAACUUCUCUACACAUAAGAAGUCAUCGAUCUCUUAACCUCUCUGCCCUUCAAUUUGAUGAAGCUAGCCCUCAAGCAUCACAAGGAGCUACCAAUGAAAUUCCUCGGAGUUGCAGUUAGAUUUCCUUAACAAUCAUUCAGUAAGAACCCUAGUACUCUCAAGGCUAGCUGUCUAAAAUUAGGGUUCAAUAAAAGAUAAAAGAUGACUGGACGCCUUCCCCUUGAUAUCAUCAGCCACAUACUCUCAAGGCUACCUGUGAAGUCUCUUUUGCCAUUCAAAUCCUGCCUACGCAAAUCCUGCAAUAACAGGCAAAUUAUGUUGAACACCUGAGGCAGGGACUUUUAUUCUCGCAUUCCCCUCAUCACCACUCAGUCUACUGUUGUAGACCAUGAAGCACGUAAUGAUGCCAUAACAGUAGAGCUUGAUUAUUCGUUGAAGAAUAGAGGCUUUUAUGAUUUCACACUUUCAUAGGAUCUUAAGUCCAUGAUAAUACCGAGAGUUCAUAGACAAUGUUCCCUCGCAAAAUGCGUGUUUGAUCGCUGUGUACGUGGAUUUGGUUGUGAUCAUUCAGCUGACGAUUACAAGUAUGUAAUAAUAGUCUUCAGAAUUCUUGUCCUCGUAUACUCGCUAGAAACUAAUACAUGGAAAAGGGUUCAAGACUUUGCUGAUUGCAGGCUAGCCUGUGAAUCAGGGACCCUGCUGAAUGGAGCUCUUCAUUGGGUUACCAGUAAGCGGAAGGACUCAGAUUGAGUCGUUGCUGAUCGGUGUCUCUGUGUCUCUGAUCUAGUGUAGGAGGAAUUCAGAGAUGUACCCCCUCCUCUUGCCUUCAAGAAUUUCUAUACAUUUCAGGUAUUCGGAGGACGCCUUUGUAUACUACCUGGUUGUAUUCUAAACAAGCAUAAUGAUUUCUGGGCAAUGAAUGAAAAGAUAGAAUCUUGGAUCAAAUUUGGAAUUGAGUUUCAAGACGAAUGAUUGUUAGCAGUAGCACUUUCCAUUGUAUAUUUCUCAGUUUUGAAGUUCAUUUUAAUGCACUGCUAUUUAAUUUAAACUUUAAAUCAGUACCAUGUCCUUUGUUGAAUUACCACAGCAGAAAAGGGGCAUACCACUGAACUAAAAGGUAUGUUUGUUCAACAAAAUUGGCAGGCUCAAAUGAACACUUUAAAGGAAACAAAAUUACAUGGAAAUUCUCUGCACCAAUUCUGCAGAAAGCAAUCCAGAUAUUCUCAAUCAGGUUGCACCAUGUUAAAUUCAAUACAGUUUGGAAAAGAUCUGUAUGUUAAAUCUACUUUCCCAUGUCCCGUCUGGAGAAUAAAGAACAGUUCCAUUUCUAAAACAUUUAUGCUACAUCGUUUCUCGAGAGUGACACUAUACAAGAACUGUAAAGGGCUUAUAGAAAUAAAAAGCCAUCCACCUCAUGAAUUUGUAAAGUACAAUGAAAAUGGAUGGAGCACAAGCGCUUCGAUUGUUUCACAGAAAACUCUUGCCUGCCACUAUCAAUAGGGGGGCUUACCCCAGACAUUGUCGGGGGCAGCAGAAAUCUAACUGCCUACAUCUCAGCACCCUGGGCCACACGAAGUACAUAGAGAUAUAACAUCCAGAAUAAAUUAUCACCUUGUAUCUUCUUUGGCAACCUCAUCUAUGUCUAUAUGCAUCAUGUUGUUAGAACAGGAAAUCUCUCUUUCCAUCUCAUCAUAGUCAGUGCUUAAUAAAAUAAAUAAUGAUGUGGUUUGUUAAACAGGGUCUGUAACUGAAACUAAAAAGAAAAAAAAGGUAAGGAAAAACUGCGAAAAUCAUGGAGAGAAAUUGGUGAUAGAAUUUACACUUAAAGGACUACAGAAAGUCUCAUCGAUUAGUAAUUUAGUAUUAUAACAAAUGGGAAUGCACAACAUGUGAUAAAUACAGAGAAAUGCCAUUAUUCCCACGCUAUCAGUCUUCAGUGAAGUUGGCCAGAAACAUGGUACAAAAAGAAAAGGUCAAGGUACAAAAAUUAGCCGUGCAUGUCAUUG
Long non-coding RNA from Populus euphratica (Euphrates poplar), 2048 nucleotides. RefSeq lists it as uncharacterized. Lineage: Eukaryota; Viridiplantae; Streptophyta; Magnoliopsida; Malpighiales; Salicaceae. The record is from RefSeq and is a predicted model, not a curated record. The transcript has 2 exons.